RNAcentral lists this long non-coding RNA (1062 nucleotides) under Rhinolophus ferrumequinum (greater horseshoe bat). Its description in RNAcentral is "lncRNA (ENSRFEG00010000413.1)". The record is from RNAcentral. Lineage: Eukaryota; Metazoa; Chordata; Mammalia; Chiroptera; Rhinolophidae.
CCUUUCCUCAAAAGAUCUUGAACCAGGCACUUCCUCCCUGUGCCAGAGCUGGAGGCCCAUCCCACGGGAAGAUUCAGCUUCUCUUUACCUUGUAACCCGCCCAGACGGCGCUGCAACUCGGGUCAAGUUCAAGAUGAAGGUGCCCUCCUAACCUCUCCGAGUUGACUCCAACAGGGGACAGCGCUACCGAGACGAGUCCCAUCACUCCAGGCAUGGGGAUCUGGGGCUGCCGAGAGUGGCCUGGAGGCAGUUCAGAGGCGAAGACUACGACAGUCUCUCAGCCCCGCGUCUCCGACCCCCUGGCCGCGGCGCCUGAUUUCUACCUGGCCACCGCCGCAUUUCCUCCCGGAGCCUUGUACAAUAAGUCAAAGCGAAUUGGGGACGUUUAGGGACCGGAGAUUGCCCUGGCGUCCCCGGGGCCCGGUGUCUACAGCCUCCUCUGACAGCUCCAGGCUGGCCCUGUGCUGUCUGUGCUACAUCUACCGAAGGCUAACGACGGGCUUUUAUCCGCGGGAGGAGUAGGUAUGGAGCCGGGAGAAUACAAAGAUGCUAUUAUUGUUUUGGCUGGUAGGAGUGAGUGAAAUUCCCAAGUUCCCAAAAUGUUUUGUUAUUCCCCAGUAGACCGAGAUCCGGGAUAGGGCCUACUGUUUCAGGAGUCCUGGUUUCGCUGGCUUCUCCUAGGAAUCCCAGGCAGCCUGGGAUUCCUAUUCAGGCUGGGGAGCUCAGCCCACUCCACACCCAAAGCCCUUUAGACCAGACCAGACCGGCCUUGGUCACCGAAGGAUCAACCAGGACUGCUGUGCCUUGUGUGGCCUGCGGGACUUGUGCAGGAGUCACCCCAACGGUGUGUCUGUAACUGGGAAUACAGAAGUUGCUAUAAAUGGAUUUAUUGGCAACCUCUAACCUUGCUGUGGCAAACCCGCCUUUAAAGACAACUGUUUUAAACAAGUUCCCCCAUAAAAACUUCAACCUCACGCAGAGCUUCCCAAUGUAAAGAUAUCCGGGGAGGGGAGUGUCCAUACCUAAAGUUCUUAUGAAAAGGGGCAGGAAGCAAAAUGCCAC